GGGAAUAUUGCGCAAUGGGCGAAAGCCUGACGCAGCGACGCCGCGUGAGGGACGAAUGCCUUCGGGUUGUAAACCUCUUUCAGCAGGGACGAAGCGCAAGUGACGGUACCUGCAGAAGAAGCACCGGCCAACUACGUGCCAGCAGCCGCGGUAAUACGUAGGGUGCAAGCGUUGUCCGGAAUUAUUGGGCGUAAAGAGCUCGUAGGCGGUCUGUCGCGUCGGCUGUGAAACCCGGAGGCUCAACCUCCGGCCUGCAGUCGAUACGGGCAGACUAGAGUUCGGUAGGGGAGACUGGAAUUCCUGGUGUAGCGGUGGAAUGCGCAGAUAUCAGGAGGAACACCGGUGGCGAAGGCGGGUCUCUGGGCCGAUACUGACGCUGAGGAGCGAAAGCGUGGGGAGCGAA
This 403-nucleotide ribosomal RNA is filed under the name uncultured bacterium. RNAcentral's name for it is "bacterial SSU rRNA". It matches the Rfam family "Bacterial small subunit ribosomal RNA", at positions 357 to 772 of the family's 1533-position model. The record is from RNAcentral.